This is a long non-coding RNA of Hordeum vulgare subsp. vulgare (domesticated barley), 245 nucleotides long. RefSeq lists it as uncharacterized. The record is from RefSeq and is a predicted model, not a curated record. The transcript is spliced from 3 exons. Lineage: Eukaryota; Viridiplantae; Streptophyta; Magnoliopsida; Poales; Poaceae.
AGGGAAACUGGAAAAACCAUGCCAAUUGCAUAACUCUCAUUGGGGAAUGAUGUGCCCUGCUGAAACACCCGAAGGACAUGCUUGUGGCUUGGUUAAAAAUCUUGCCUUGAUGGUUUAUAUCACUGUUGGCUCUGCCGCAAAUCCUAUUUUGGAAUUUUUGGAAGAAUGGGGCACAGAAAAUUUUGAGGAGAUAUCACCGGCAGUCAUUCCUCAAGCUGCUAAAAUAUUUUUCAAUGGUUGUUGGG